This 492-nucleotide ribosomal RNA is filed under the name uncultured bacterium. RNAcentral describes it as "partial 16S ribosomal RNA". It matches the Rfam family "Bacterial small subunit ribosomal RNA", at positions 29 to 507 of the family's 1533-position model. The record is from RNAcentral.
AGUGAACGCUGGCGGUAGGCCUAACACAUGCAAGUCGAACGGCAGCACAGUAAGAGCUUGCUCUUACGGGUGGCGAGUGGCGGACGGGUGAGGAAUACAUCGGAAUCUACUUUUUCGUGGGGGAUAACGUAGGGAAACUUACGCUAAUACCGCAUACGACCUACGGGUGAAAGCAGGGGAUCUUCGGACCUUGCGCGAUUGAAUGAGCCGAUGUCGGAUUAGCUAGUUGGCGGGGUAAAGGCCCACCAAGGCGACGAUCCGUAGCUGGUCUGAGAGGAUGAUCAGCCACACUGGAACUGAGACACGGUCCAGACUCCUACGGGAGGCAGCAGUGGGGAAUAUUGGACAAUGGGCGCAAGCCUGCUCCAGCCAUGCCGCGUGGGUGAAGAAGGCCUUCGGGUUGUAAAGCCCUUUUGUUGGGAAAGAAAAGCAGCAGGUUAAUACCCCGCUGUUCUGACGGUACCCAAAGAAUAAGCACCGGCUAGCUUCGUG